This 460-nucleotide ribosomal RNA is filed under the name uncultured bacterium. RNAcentral's name for it is "partial 16S ribosomal RNA". It matches the Rfam family "Bacterial small subunit ribosomal RNA", at positions 338 to 795 of the family's 1533-position model. The record is from RNAcentral.
CCUACGGGUGGCAGCAGUGAGGAAUAUUGGUCAAUGGGCGGAAGCCUGAACCAGCCAAGUCGCGUGAGGGAGUAAGGCCCUACGGGUCGUAAACCUCUUUUGCCGGGGAGCAGUGUCCAGCUCGUGAGCUUGGUGGGAGCGUCCCCGGAGAACAGGCAUCGCCCACCUCGGUGCAAGCAGCCGCGGAAUUACGAAGGUUGGGAGGGUACUCCGGUUUGAUUGGGUUAAAAGGGUGCGUAGGCGGGCCUUCAGGCGGGCGGGAAAAGUCCGGGGGUCAACCCCGCCCCGCCGUCGGAACCGGGGGCCUUGAGUACGGGAGAGGUACGCGGAAUGCGUGGUGUAGCGGUGAAAUGCAUAGAUAUCACGCAGAACCCCGAUUGCGAAGGCAGCGUACCGGCCGGUCACUGACGCUGAGGCACGAAGGCGCGGGUAUCGAACAGGAUUAGAUACCCUGGUAGUC